UUAAGCUAGAAAGAGCGCAGGGUGGAUGCCUUGGCACUAAGAGCCGAUGAAAGACGUGAUAAGCUGCGAAAAGCUUCGGGGAGGAGCAAAUAUCCUUUGAUCCGGAGAUCUCUGAAUGGGGAAACCUACUUGAGUGCACCUCAAGUGACGUAUGGUGAAUCCAUAGCCAUACGCCGGGAACCCGGUGAACUGAAACAUCUAAGUAGCCGGAGGAAGAGAAAGAAACAUCGAUUCCGAAAGUAGCGGCGAGCGAAAUUGGAAGAGCCCAAACCGGAAUGCGUGCAUUCCGGGGUUAUGGACCACGAUAUGUGACCCGUAUGGUAAUGGAACUGUCUGGGAAGUCAGACCAGAGAGGGUGAAAGUCCCGUACAUGAAACCAGAAGGGAGCUAGUGGGAUCCAGAGUACUGCGAGACACGUGGAACCUUGCAGGAAGUCGGGGGGACCACCCCCCAAGGCUAAAUACUCCUUAGUGACCGAUAGCGCAUAGUACUGUGAAGGAAAGGUGAAAAGGACCCCGGGAGGGGAGUGAAAGAGAACCUGAAACCCUGUGUUUACAAGCUGUGGAAGCACGUUAAGGUGCGACCGCGUACUUUUUGUAGAACGGUCCGGCGAGUUGCGGAUGCUGGCAAGGUUAAGCACUUUAGGUGCGGAGCCGAAGCGAGAGCAAGUCUGAAUAGGGCGUCAAGUCAGCAUGUGCAGACCCGAAACCGGGUGAUCUAUCCAUGUCCAGGUUGAAGCGAAAGUAAAAUUUCGUGGAGGACCGAACGCACAUCCGUUGAAAAGGGUGGCGAUGAGGUGUGGAUAGGGGAGAAAUUCCAAUCGAACCCGGAGAUAGCUGGUUCUCCUCGAAAUAGCUUUAGGGCUAGCCUCGUAUUAGUCUGGUGGAGGUAGAGCACUGAAUUUCCUAGGGGGCGUCAAAGCCUACCGAAGAAUAUCAAACUCCGAAUGCCAUACAGAUGAUGUACGGGAGUCAGACGGCACGAGAUAAGUUGGGUCGUCAAAAGGGAAAGAGCCCAGACCUGCAGCUAAGGUCCCAAAGUGUGUGUUAAGUGGAAAAGGAUGUGGGAUUUCAAAGACAACUAGGAUGUUGGCUCAGAAGCAGCCACACAUUCAAAGAGUGCGUAAUAGCUCACUAGUCGAGAGGUCCUGCGCCGAAAAUGUCCGGGGCUGAAACACAACACCGAAGCUCAGGAAUGACUUAGGUCAUUGGUAGAGGAGCAUUCUUAAAGGGGCGAAGCAGUACCGAUAAGGAGCUGUGGACUUUUAAGAAGAGAGAAUGCCGGAAUGAGUAGCGAGAUGGAGGUGGGAAUCCUCCAGGCCGAAUAUCUAAGGUUUCCAGGGUAAAGCUGAUCUGCCCUGGGUAAGUCGGGGCCUAAGGCAAGGCUGAGAAGCGUAGCUGAUGGACAACAGGUUUAGAUUCCUGUACCACAUGGUAUCAGAACUGUGGGGACGCAGAGGGAUAAGAUGACCGGGGGACAGAUUCCCGGGCAAGCGCAGGAGGUGUCAGGCAGGCAAAUCCGCCUGAUAAGCCAAAGACGUGACGCGGACCGAACUCAAGUAGGGAAGCAUCCGAUUCCAGCUGCCGAGAAAAGCCGCUAUUGUGUACCAUGUGCCCGUACCGUAAACCGACACAGGUGGAUGAGGAGAGAAUCCUAAGGCCGGCGGGAGAAGCAUUGUUAAGGAACUCGGCAAAAUGACCCCGUAACUUCGGGAUAAGGGGUGCCAGAGAGAUCUGGCCGCAGAGAAUAGGCUCAAGCAACUGUUUAGCAAAAACACAGGUCUAUGCGAAACCGUAAGGUGAUGUAUAUGGGCUGACGCCUGCCCGGUGCUGGAAGGUUAAGAGGAGAGGUUAGAGCAAUCGAAGCUUUGAAUUGAAGCCCCAGUAAACGGCGGCCGUAACUAUAACGGUCCUAAGGUAGCGAAAUUCCUUGUCGGGUAAGUUCCGACCCGCACGAAAGGCGUAAUGAUUUGAGCGCUGUCUCGACAAUGCACCCGGUGAAAUUGAAAUACCAGUGAAGAUGCUGGUUACCUGCGCCAGGACGGAAAGACCCCAUGGAGCUUUACUCCAGCUUGAUACUGGGAUUCGGUAAUGCAUGCACAGGAUAGGUGGGAGGCUACGAGUACGGAACUCCGGUUUCGUAUGAGCCGCUGUUGGGAUACCACCCUUGCGUUACUGGGUUUCUAACCAUGGUCCAUGAUCUGGAUCGGGGACAAUGUCAAGUGGGGAGUUUGACUGGGGCGGUCGCCUCCGAAA
RNAcentral lists this ribosomal RNA (2255 nucleotides) under human gut metagenome. RNAcentral's name for it is "bacterial LSU rRNA". It matches the Rfam family "Bacterial large subunit ribosomal RNA", at positions 3 to 2294 of the family's 2925-position model. The record is from RNAcentral.